UGUGGCUCAGUGGUAGAGUGCUUGUCUUGUAAAUGUGAAGCCCUGGGUUUGAUCCUCAGCA
RNAcentral lists this transfer RNA (61 nucleotides) under Ictidomys tridecemlineatus (thirteen-lined ground squirrel). RNAcentral's name for it is "Spermophilus tridecemlineatus (thirteen-lined ground squirrel) tRNA". It matches the Rfam family "tRNA", at positions 6 to 65 of the family's 71-position model. Rfam says of the family: Transfer RNA (tRNA) molecules are approximately 80 nucleotides in length. The record is from Rfam by way of RNAcentral. Lineage: Eukaryota; Metazoa; Chordata; Mammalia; Rodentia; Sciuridae.